AGCGAACGCUGGCGGCAGGCCUAAUACAUGCAAGUCGAGCGCACCUUCGGGUGAGCGGCGGACGGGUGAGUAACGCGUGGGAACGUGCCCUUUGGUACGGAACAACUGAGGGAAACUUCAGCUAAUACCGUAUAAGCCCUUCGGGGAAGGAUUUAUCGCCAUUGGAGCGGCCCGCGUUGGAUUAGCUAGUUGGUGGGGUAAAGGCCCACCAAGGCUACGAUCCAUAGCUGGUCUGAGAGGAUGAUCAGCCACACUGGGACUGAGACACGGCCCAGACUCCUACGGGAGGCAGCAGUAGGGAAUCUUGCGCAAUGGGCGAAAGCCUGAUGCAGCCAUGCCGCGU
Molecule: ribosomal RNA, 343 nt
Filed under: uncultured bacterium
Lineage: Bacteria
Description: bacterial SSU rRNA
Rfam family: Bacterial small subunit ribosomal RNA
Source: RNAcentral